ACAUGAGUAACGAUAAUGUGGGUGAAAAACCUACACGCCGAAAGUCCAAGGUUUCCUGCGCAACGUUAAUCGGCGCAGGGUGAGUCGGCCCCUAAGGCGAGGCAGAAAUGCGUAGUCGAUGGGAAACAGGUUAAUAUUCCUGUACCUUAUGAUAUUGCGAUGGGAUGACGGAGAAGGCUAAAUCAGCCAUCAGUUGGUUUUGGUGGUUUAAGCAAGUAGGGAGAGUUUCUAGGUAAAUCCGGAAACUUGUUAAUCCUGAGAUGUGAUGACGUUGUUCUUUCCUUCGGGGAAGAGCUUAAGUGAUUGAUGCCACGCUUCCAAGAAAAGUCUCUAAGCUUCAGAUAUCAUGAGACCGUACCCCAAACCGACACAGGUGGUCAGGUAGAGAAUACCAAGGCGUACGAGAGAACUAUGGUUAAGGAACUCGGCAAAAUACCCCCGUAACUUCGGGAGAAGGG
RNAcentral lists this ribosomal RNA (458 nucleotides) under Ctenophora environmental sample. RNAcentral's name for it is "partial Bacterial large subunit ribosomal RNA". It matches the Rfam family "Bacterial large subunit ribosomal RNA", at positions 1300 to 1747 of the family's 2925-position model. Lineage: Eukaryota; Metazoa; Ctenophora. The record is from RNAcentral.